RNAcentral lists this ribosomal RNA (253 nucleotides) under uncultured bacterium. RNAcentral's name for it is "partial 16S ribosomal RNA". It matches the Rfam family "Bacterial small subunit ribosomal RNA", at positions 524 to 776 of the family's 1533-position model. The record is from RNAcentral.
UACAGAGGGGGCAAGCGUUGUUCGGAAUUACUGGGCGUAAAGGGCGCGUAGGCGGCGUGUCAAGUCAAUUGUGAAAUCUCCGAGCUUAACUCGGAACUGCCAAUUGAUACUGAUGUGCUAGAGUGCAGAAAGGGCAAUCGGAAUUCUUGGUGUAGCGGUGAAAUGCGUAGAUAUCAAGAGGAACACCUGAGGCGAAGGCGGGUUGCUAGGCUGACACUGACGCUGAGGCGCGAAAGCUAGGGUAGCAAACGGG